This 253-nucleotide ribosomal RNA is filed under the name uncultured bacterium. RNAcentral describes it as "partial 16S ribosomal RNA". It matches the Rfam family "Bacterial small subunit ribosomal RNA", at positions 524 to 776 of the family's 1533-position model. The record is from RNAcentral.
UACAGAGGUCUCAAGCGUUGUUCGGCUUCAUUGGGCGUAAAGGGUGCGUAGGCGGCGCGGUAAGUCGGGUGUGAAAUCUCGGAGCUUAACUCCGAAACUGCAUUCGAUACUGCCGUGCUUGAGGACUGGAGAGGAGACUGGAAUUUACGGUGUAGCGGUGAAAUGCGUAGAUAUCGUAAGGAAGACCAGUGGCGAGGGCGGGUCCCUGGACAGUUCCUGACGCUGAGGCACGAAGGCCAGGGGAGCAAACGGG